GUCCCCCACUUGUGCCCCACUUGUGCCCCAGCUGUGUCCCUUUUGUCCCCCACUUGUGCCCCACUUGUGCCCCAGCUGUGCCCCACUUGUGUCCCCCACUUGUGUCCCAUUGUCCCCCAGCUGUGCCCCAGCUGCAGCCCAGUCGUGUCCCCACUAUUCCUCAGGUGCUCCCAGCAGUGCCCAAGAUGUGCCCUGGUUGUCCCCCAGCUGUGUCCCGUUUGUCCCCCAGUUGUGCCCCAGUUGUGCCCAAGAUGUGUCCCAGCUGUCCCCCAGUUGACUCCCAUUGUCCCCAGCUGUGUCCCAGUUGUCCCCCAGCUGUGCCCCAGUUGUGCCCCAAUUGUGCCCAAAAUGUGCCCCAGUUGUGCCCCAGUUGACUCCCAUUGUCCCCAGUUGUGUCCAGUUGUCCCCCAGCAGACGACCCCAUGGGUGCAGCGUUGGUGA
This 441-nucleotide long non-coding RNA is filed under the name Phasianus colchicus (ring-necked pheasant). Its description in RNAcentral is "lncRNA (ENSPCLG00000016814.1)". The record is from RNAcentral. Lineage: Eukaryota; Metazoa; Chordata; Aves; Galliformes; Phasianidae.